GGGGUGUAGCUCAGGUGGUAGAGCGCUUGCCUCGCAUGACAGGCCCUGGGUUCAAGCCCCAGCACCACCA
RNAcentral lists this transfer RNA (70 nucleotides) under Marmota monax (woodchuck). It matches the Rfam family "tRNA". Rfam says of the family: Transfer RNA (tRNA) molecules are approximately 80 nucleotides in length. Their secondary structure includes four short double-helical elements and three loops (D, anti-codon, and T loops). Further hydrogen bonds mediate the characteristic L-shaped molecular structure. tRNAs have two regions of fundamental functional importance: the anti-codon, which is responsible for specific mRNA codon recognition, and the 3' end, to which the tRNAs corresponding amino acid is attached (by aminoacyl-tRNA synthetases). tRNAs cope with the degeneracy of the genetic code in two manners: having more than one tRNA (with a specific anti-codon) for a particular amino acid; and 'wobble' base-pairing, i.e. permitting non-standard base-pairing at the 3rd anti-codon position. RNAcentral also lists the same sequence under 2 other names. Lineage: Eukaryota; Metazoa; Chordata; Mammalia; Rodentia; Sciuridae. The record is from Rfam by way of RNAcentral.